RNAcentral lists this transfer RNA (30 nucleotides) under Pterocarpus marsupium. Its description in RNAcentral is "partial tRNA-His". Lineage: Eukaryota; Viridiplantae; Streptophyta; Magnoliopsida; Fabales; Fabaceae. The record is from RNAcentral.
GCGGAUGUAGCCCAAGUAUUGACGAUACGC